RNAcentral lists this transfer RNA (75 nucleotides) under archaeon CG06_land_8_20_14_3_00_37_11. RNAcentral's name for it is "tRNA-Asp". It matches the Rfam family "tRNA". From Rfam's summary of the family: Transfer RNA (tRNA) molecules are approximately 80 nucleotides in length. Their secondary structure includes four short double-helical elements and three loops (D, anti-codon, and T loops). Further hydrogen bonds mediate the characteristic L-shaped molecular structure. tRNAs have two regions of fundamental functional importance: the anti-codon, which is responsible for specific mRNA codon recognition, and the 3' end, to which the tRNAs corresponding amino acid is attached (by aminoacyl-tRNA synthetases). tRNAs cope with the degeneracy of the genetic code in two manners: having more than one tRNA (with a specific anti-codon) for a particular amino acid; and 'wobble' base-pairing, i.e. permitting non-standard base-pairing at the 3rd anti-codon position. The record is from RNAcentral. RNAcentral also lists the same sequence under 1 other name.
GCUCUGGUAGUCUAGUAUGGUCUAGGACAUUGGCCUGUCACGCCGAUAACCUGGGUUCAAAUCCCAGCCAGGGCG